Molecule: ribosomal RNA, 440 nt
Filed under: uncultured bacterium
Lineage: Bacteria
Description: partial 16S ribosomal RNA
Rfam family: Bacterial small subunit ribosomal RNA
Source: RNAcentral
CCUACGGGCGGCAGCAGUAGGGAAUAUUGCUCAAUGGGGGAAACCCUGAAGCAGCAACGCCGCGUGGAGGAUGAAGGUUUUCGGAUUGUUAACUCCUUUUGUUAGAGAAGAUAAUGACGGUAUCUAACGAAUAAGCACCGGCUCACUCCGUUCCAGCAGCCGCGGUAAUACGGAGGGUGCAAGCGUUACUCGGAAUCACUGGGCGUAAAGGGCGCGUAGGCGGGAUAGCAAGUCAGAUGUGAAAUCCUAUGGCUUAACCAUAGAACUGCAGUUGAAACUGUAAUUCUAGAGUAUGGGAGAGGUAGGUGGAAUUCUUGGUGUAGGGGUAAAAUCCGUAGAUAUCAAGAGGAAUACUCAUUGCGAAGGCGACCUGCUAGAACAUAACUGACGCUGAUGCGCGAAAGCGUGGGGAGCAAACAGGAUUAGAUACCCGGGUAGUC